This 138-nucleotide small nucleolar RNA is filed under the name Ornithorhynchus anatinus (platypus). Lineage: Eukaryota; Metazoa; Chordata; Mammalia; Monotremata; Ornithorhynchidae. The record is from RNAcentral.
CCCCUCUCAGGGUUGCACCUGGAGAGUUUCCAGUCCUCUACCAGUCUCGGCUAUGGGAGGGAGAGUCAAGCAGAGGCCUGUCCGUUCCAUUCCUAGCUUGGCCAGUGGCUAGCGAGUGGCAGGCCAUCUGCCACAGGU